CCUCUGUGAUGUCAGCAGGUAUUCUGAGAACACUGAGGAGUGCUGGAAUGUUCCAUGUGCCCAUCUGUGCCCUCAACACAUCAUGCUCCAGACUGAGGCACCAUCUAUCUCCUUCUUCAGAUUGUGGAUAAGAAGAUUCCUUUAAGCACAAUUCCAAAAUGGCUAUGAAUUAGACACUGCUGGUACUUGAAAAUAACAUAAGGAAUGUAAGUACAAUGUGCAAAACAGAAGCUCACAGAUACAAUCCCAGCUUCUCCUUGUUAAGAGAAUUCCUCAGCUGCCAUUUAUCUCUGAUUUCUCUUUGGGCACAGCUGCUAGAACACUGAAAACCUACUGUUUUUCACAUUUGUGUCCCGAAAAGAGUCCAAGUUUUUAAUGUUCUCCAGAGUGAAAGAGUCCCAAGUCCUGCCUCUGGUUAUUGCCAGAGGAAGGAAAACAUCACUUCGCACUUUUUAUUAACCUCUGCAAGGAUGCACCAUCCACAACCGUGCCGUACGCAUUUUAAGAACAUUCUGAUGCAUUUGAAUUUAGAGACUUUUGACAAUAUUCAGAGUUUCCCAAAGGAUAAUGGGCUCCUAUUUGAUUUACAUCUUAUGAUGAAAGUGGUUCACAAAGAAGGUUCUUCUCAAAGCCGCGAGUCUAGCUCAAACUCCUAGUUUCAGUUUUUACUUUCAGACUUACAUGAAAGGUAUGUUUCAAAAUGAAAGAUUAUUUUUUGAUCUCACUGUAUCACUAUACACUGGUGGCAAAUAGUUUAGCCUUUGUCAGCCUCCAAAUGAAGACAGCAAAACUUACUUCAUUUUGUGAGGAUCAAAUGAGAUCAUUUAUGUGAAAACAUCUUUAAACAAUAAAGGAUUAUAUAAACA
Gorilla gorilla gorilla (western lowland gorilla) is the source of this 866-nucleotide long non-coding RNA. RefSeq lists it as uncharacterized. NCBI's taxonomy places the organism in Eukaryota, Metazoa, Chordata, Mammalia, Primates, Hominidae. The transcript has 2 exons. The record is from RefSeq and is a predicted model, not a curated record.